Molecule: long non-coding RNA, 1017 nt
Organism: Diabrotica virgifera virgifera (western corn rootworm)
Lineage: Eukaryota; Metazoa; Arthropoda; Insecta; Coleoptera; Chrysomelidae
Exons: 3
Source: RefSeq, a predicted model, not a curated record
GACAUCUUCAUCUUGGCCACCUUGACCUUGCUUUGCCGUGGGUGGAUCGUUGUUUCUAUUAUUUGUGCUUUUUAAGAAUAUUUUUUUAAUUCGGAUACUUUUAUAAUAGCUUUAAUAGUAUUAUUAACAUAGUGAAUAAAAUGGUGUCCUGUUUUUAACGCAGUUGGAGUAGCAGAAACAAAUGUAGAUAAAAAAAUCUGCAGUAAUAACGUUUCAAUUAUGACAGAAGCUCCAAACAAAUGACUGAAUGAAAAGCCCUAUUAAAAGCUUUCCAGAAGAUCCUGCGAAGAAGACAUGAAGUAUAGAUCAGAUUUGUUAAUAGAGGAGUAUGUUCAAAACACUUUUUAGAAAAAGAUAUUGACAGAACUUCACUUUCAUCUGUUCGUUUAAGAGACUGUGCUGUUCCAAUAGCUUAUGUCACACAGAAUCAGCUGAGAGAAGUGGUCUACAAAAAACCAGAAAGGAAACGGAAUAUGUGGCUACGAAAAGCAAAAGAAAGGUUUACAAAGCAAAUGUGACACAUUUUUUUAUAAUAUUUAGGAAUGUCAGUAAAUUACAUUAAAAAAUGUAUGUAAAGAUUUUUUGCAAUAAAAAUGUUUAUAUUUAUCAAGCAUGUAUUAUUUGGUAUGGCCACAUAUCGUCAGUGAUGUGACAAUACCUCCUAUCUGUUUUUUUCAAGAGAUUUGUAAGAUAGACUAAAAACUUGUUUCGGCCACCUCCUGUUUUCAUAUAUUUUUUGACUUGUUUUGCAGUAAAUUCAACUAUCUAUUUACUACAAAAAAGUCAGAAUACGUACGAAAACAGAAAGUGACCUUAAAAAAUGUUUUUCGUCUCCUGCAAACCUCAUGAAAAAACAUAUAGGAGGUAUUGUCACAUUACUGACGAUAUAUUUCAGUGAAUGUCUAAAAAAUAUUCUGUGAAUGUUCAAAGAACGUUCGUAGACAUUCAUGGAAUGUUCUAACAAGACAUUCAGUCUAAAAAUAUACUGUGAAUGUCCAAAGAACAUUCAUGGAAUGU